This 83-nucleotide non-coding RNA is filed under the name Enterobacter cloacae MRSN 11489. The record is from RNAcentral. Lineage: Bacteria; Pseudomonadati; Pseudomonadota; Gammaproteobacteria; Enterobacterales; Enterobacteriaceae.
ACCUCCUACGGGAACCUGAAAGCACGACAUUGCUCACAUUGCUUCCAGUAUUACUUUAGCCAGCUUUUAGCUGGCUUUUUUUU